Molecule: ribosomal RNA, 468 nt
Filed under: uncultured bacterium
Lineage: Bacteria
Description: partial 16S ribosomal RNA
Rfam family: Bacterial small subunit ribosomal RNA
Source: RNAcentral
GACGAACGCUGGCGGCGUGCUUAACACAUGCAAGUCGAACGGAAAGGCCCUGCUUUUGUGGGGUGCUCGAGUGGCGAACGGGUGAGUAACACGGGAGUAACCUGCGCUGGACGUUGGGAUAACUUCAGGAAACUGGGGCUAAUACCGGAUAGGAGCUCCUGCUGCAUGGUGGGGGUUGGAAAGUUUCGGCGGUUGGGGAUGGACUCGCGGCUUAUCAGCUUGUGGGGGGGGUAGUGGCUUACCAAGGAUUUGACGGGUAGCCGGCCUGAGAGGGUGACCGGCCACAUUGGGACUGCGGUACGGCCCAGACUCCUACGGGAGGCAGCAGUGGGGAAUAUUGAACAAUGGGCGGAAGCCUGAUGCAGCAACGCCGCGUGCGGGAUGACGGCCUUCGGGUUGUAAACCGCUUUAGCCUGUGACGAAGCGUGAGUGACGGUAAUGGGUAAAGAAGCACCGGCUAACUACGUG